This 67-nucleotide transfer RNA is filed under the name bovine gut metagenome. It matches the Rfam family "tRNA". From Rfam's summary of the family: Transfer RNA (tRNA) molecules are approximately 80 nucleotides in length. Their secondary structure includes four short double-helical elements and three loops (D, anti-codon, and T loops). The record is from RNAcentral.
CGGGUAUAGCUUAGGGGUAAAGCCCCAGCUUCCCAAGCUGGUCACGCGGGUUCGAUUCCCGCUACCC